RNAcentral lists this ribosomal RNA (390 nucleotides) under Triticum aestivum (bread wheat). RNAcentral's name for it is "partial small subunit ribosomal RNA". Lineage: Eukaryota; Viridiplantae; Streptophyta; Magnoliopsida; Poales; Poaceae. The record is from RNAcentral.
AUGGCGACCAUCAACACCAAACCCAUAAAACCCUCUUGUGGCCUCCUUCUCAUUGCAAUCCUCCUAGCUAUGUCUUCAGACAAUGCACGUGGCGACGACCUACCGCCUUCACCAGCACAGGCGCCACCGCCAUCCCCAGUCGGUGGACGGUGCAAGUUGAGCGAUGAAAUUGCUCUCAAAGUGUGCGUGAACGUCCGCUUGGGCAAGAUGAGCCCGUUUGAGAAGAACCAGUGCUGUCGGCAGAUUCGUCAGACGCCAAACGCCGCGGACUGUUUGUGUUCCACCUUCACCCAAGCACGCGCCCGUGUCUAUGGCAAUGUCCUUGAUGAAAUCAAUGCCAUUCUCACAGUCUGUGGUAAGGCUCGUGUCCACAACCAAUUCUGUCUCUAA